This is a long non-coding RNA of Saccostrea cuccullata (small rock oyster), 2508 nucleotides long. RefSeq lists it as uncharacterized. NCBI's taxonomy places the organism in Eukaryota, Metazoa, Mollusca, Bivalvia, Ostreida, Ostreidae. The record is from RefSeq and is a predicted model, not a curated record. The transcript is spliced from 6 exons.
UUAACCCUCCAGUUAACCAGGCAUAAAUGAUGAAAUCUCACAUUUAACAAUGAACACAUGAUGGCUUUUUGUAGACCUGGUAACCGGGAAGUUGAUUUGUCAGAGGAGUGAUUCAGAGGGCCCAGAUAAAGGACUUUCUUCACACAUCUGAAGUACGCCACCACGAGGAGAGCUCACAAAGAUAAAAUGGAAGAAUAGCACCCCCAGAUUUGAUUGUCCAGCAUGUUUGAGCUGUUAAUCUGCUUAGUAUGUCUUUGAUAAAUUGCUGUAUAGAUUGAUAUGUAAAAUGUGACUUCCACAUGGUCUUGAAUCAGAAACACUUGAUUGCGAUUACCAGGAAAUUUGUGGACGAUCUAGCCUUUCAGUUUACAGGCAGCUGCCGUGACAGGGUCUUUGGAUACAUGAAAAAUAAAGAUCUGAAAGCUUCUUUCAAGUCACUGCUCGAGUAUUUUGAUGUGUACUGAAAAUAUAAAGAAGAUCAGAUGAAGAGAUGCCUCAUAUACAGUUUACCCAUCAACCAGAGAUACACCUGAGAAAGAGACCAAGGUUGUGGACUUGUCAUCAUAAAGUGGUUGAGAGCUGUUAUGUGAUAUGAUUGACAGAGAAAAUUAAGCUGUGAAGGUUUGUUAGUCAUAACAUGAGUUGACCAUCACCCAGGUAUAGUAGCCCCGAAGGUAAAUGCAUGUACAUCUGACAAAAAUCUUGAUUAAUUAUCUACUCAUCACAUGUUAACAAAAUGCCAAUGUCUUUGACAGCUUAGGACAUCUUCAUUAUUGGAUAAUGAGACACUUUUUAGCUGAUGCACAAUUUUAAAGGUUCCCUGUGAUUUAUUGUUUUAAAUUUUUUUGAAAAUUGCAUUUUGAAAAGUGGAGUAAAAUUAAAUUUUAGAUAGUAUUGCGUCCUAGUUAUACAACAUAAGAUUAAAAAAAUGCCACAUCCACUUUUUGAAACACUCCACCCACUUUCAGAUGUUUAGGAAACAGUACUGAGAGUAUUUAUCUGGGUUUGCACUUUACCCCCCUAGUAUGUCUAUUGAGGGCUCAAGUGCACCCCCUUUAAAGGUCCAAUUUAGGAAUGUCAAAGCUUAAGUUUUCAACUCCAUCUGUUCAAGCAGUUUCUUAAAGAUUUUUUUUAAAUCUCAAGGAUUGCUUAAGAUGAUUUGUGGAAGCAUGAGAAAUUUCUUUAAUUUUCUGAGAAAAUAUGAAAUUGUGUGAGUUUGUUUCUGUCAUAAAAUUAAGGAAAUGUUAAAAUGGCACAUAUAUAUUUAUCUUCAAAGUAACAGACAAUACUAGAAUCAAAAGAAAACACAAGUGCAGUGAUGUUUCAUUUAAGAUAUGUUUGGUUCAGCACGGAGGAAAUUAUUAAUUACAAGUGUCUUUGUAAUUAUCUCGAAGAAGGUGUACAAAAUUCCAAACCCAGGGUAUAAAACCACUUAAAGAUGACAGCAUCACAGUAAUUGAGACUUGUUUAGAAACAGUUACUUGAAUAUCUGUGUGCUUGAAGAUUGUGUUUGAGCUAUCAAGAAAAAUCGAAAAAUAUAUCUUUGACAGUUAAUAGGUAGAAACUGAAAAGAAACUCUUGUGUUUGUCUCCUUCUUUCACUUGCAGCACUCUACAUUUCUCGAUGAAGUUAAUAGCAGUGGCAGUAAAUUGCUCUGACUUUUCUCUCAAAGAUAGGGAACUCUAAAACAGGGAGGGAAAGAUUAAAAAAACAACAACAUUAUCUCCACGCAAGAUCAGCUGAGUUGUAUCACAAUGAUAAAAAAAAUCUGCACCACAAGUAGCGAGACAUUUCCAUUGUAAACUACUGAUGCAAUGUUAAGGUUUUAAAAUGUCUUCUUCAUUGAUGGGGAUAAUAUAUAUUAAAUGAAUCAAGUGUUUAUAAAAAUAGAUCAAUUUUCCGGCUGCUUAACCCAACUAGUUGAGCUAAUACCAAUAAUCAAAUGAUUGGCAUAAUCUCAUUGAAGGGGGGAGAGGUUUGGUGAAACAGAUUUUCCAUAUGGACCAUUGACUUGUGAAGGCAUUGUAUCCUGAUUAAGGGGCUUUUUUUGGAGUGGAGGUUGAACUAGCAAUCUCAAUGAGACCCUUCCACCUAGGGGUUCUACCUAAUUGGGUUCAGCAAGUUGGAAGCAUUUUCAUUUGUUAUUCACAAUGUUCCUUGGCAGGUCCAAAAGAUUUUUUUAUGAACAUCACAACAUUAAUUUUUUGAUGGGGUUGAAUAAGGAGUUCUGAAGUGUGAAGCUGACUUUCAUCCAAAUUAAAAUAUUAUUGAUUCAGUUUUGUUGUUCUCAAUGGGGGUUGGGAACUUUAUGGUCAGUCUGAAGGACUGUACUAGGGCCCACUAUAGGGGACCCGCCCAUUUCCCGCCCCCUACAAUUGAGACCCUCAUAAUCCAAUAUCUCUCACUUAAUUGAGAUAAACAAUUUUAGGACCCCACAAUGUCAUUUCUUUUCACAUUAAAGUGUAAUUAUAAGAACGAUUAAAAAAUCAUAAAAUGUUUUAAUUCAUG